UACGGAGGGUGCGAGCGUUGUCCGGAAUCACUGGGCGUAAAGGGUGCGUAGGCGGCCUGGUAAGUAGGGGGUGAAAUCCUGCGGCUUAACCGCAGGGCUGCCUUCUAAACUGUCAGGCUAGAGCACGGUAGAGGCAGAUGGAAUUCCCGGUGUAGCGGUGGAAUGCGUAGAGAUCGGGAAGAACAUCAGUGGCGAAGGCGGUCUGCUGGGCCGUUGCUGACGCUGAGGCGCGACAGCGUGGGGAGCAAACAGG
This 253-nucleotide ribosomal RNA is filed under the name uncultured bacterium. RNAcentral's name for it is "partial 16S ribosomal RNA". It matches the Rfam family "Bacterial small subunit ribosomal RNA", at positions 524 to 776 of the family's 1533-position model. The record is from RNAcentral.